This 1704-nucleotide ribosomal RNA is filed under the name Caenorhabditis sp. DF5070. RNAcentral describes it as "SSU rRNA". It matches the Rfam family "Eukaryotic small subunit ribosomal RNA". The record is from RNAcentral. Lineage: Eukaryota; Metazoa; Nematoda; Chromadorea; Rhabditida; Rhabditidae.
GCGCGAUAUGCUCAAGUAAAAGAUUAAGCCAUGCAUGCUAGAUUCAUCAAUGAAAUUGCGUACGGCUCAUUAGAGCAGAUAUCAUUUUACUCGGAAUUCUAUAUGGAUAACUGCGGAAAUACUGGAGCUAAUACAUGCAUUUAAACCUCGACGUAAGGAGAGGUGCAAUUAUUAGAACAGAUCAAACGUUUUCGGACGUAAUUUGUUGACUCUGAAUAAAGCAGUUUACUGUCGGUUUUACCGACUCUAUCCGGGAAAAGUGUCUGCCCUUUCAACUAGAUGGUAGUUUAUUGGACUACCAUGGUUGUUACGGGUAACGGAGAAUAAGGGUUCGACUCCGGAGAGGGAGCCUUAGAAACGGCUACCACGUCCAAGGAAGGCAGCAGGCGCGAAACUUAUCCACUGUUGUGUAUGAGAUAGUGACUAAAAAUAUAAAGACUCAUCCUUCGGGAUGAGUUAUUUCAAUGAGUUGAAUAUAAAUCGUUCUUCAAGUAACAAGGAGAGGGCAAGUCUGGUGCCAGCAGCCGCGGUAAUUCCAGCUCUCCUAGUGUAUUUCGUUAUUGCUGCGGUUAAAAAGCUCGUAGUUGGAUCUAGGUUACGUGCGUUGGUUCACUUUCAGUGUUAACCAUCGUCGUAGCUUCUUUUUACUGAUUUGUUUGGCGGGCUUGUCUCGUCAGCUGUCAGUGGGUUUACCUUGAACAAAUUAAGGUGCUCAAUACAGGCGUUUGCUUGUAUAUUCUAUCAUGGAAUAAUAAAAUAGGACUUCGGUUCUUUUUGUUGGUUCUAGAAUCGAUUUAAUGAUUGAUAGGGACAAUCCGGGGGCAUUCGUAUCAUUACGCGAGAGGUGAAAUUCGUGGACCGUAGUGAGACGCCCAAAAGCGAAAGCAUUUGCCAAGAAUGUCUUCAUUAAUCAAGAACGAAAGUCAGAGUUCGAAGGCGAUUAGAUACCGCCCUAGUUCUGACCGUAAACUAUGCCAGCUCGCGAUUCGGAAGGUUUUUGCCUUACCGAGGAGCUAUCCGGAAACGAAAGUCUUUCGGUUCCGGGGGUAGUAUGGUUGCAAAGCUGAAACUUAAAGAAAUUGACGGAAGGGCACCACAAGGCGUGGAGCUUGCGGCUUAAUUUGACUCAACACGGGAAAACUCACCCGGUCCGGACAUCGUUAGGACUGACAGAUUGAAAGCUCUUUCUCGAUUCGGUGGUUGGUGGUGCAUGGCCGUUCUUAGUUGGUGGAGUGAUUUGUCUGGUUUAUUCCGAUAACGAGCGAGACUCUAACCUGCUAAAUAGUGUGCGAAUCUUCGGGUUCGUAGAACUUCUUAGAGGGAUAAGCGGUGUUUAGCCGCACGAGAUUGAGCGAUAACAGGUCUGUGAUGCCCUUAGAUGUCCGGGGCUGCACGCGUGCUACACUGGUGGAGUCAGCGGGUCUUACCUAAACCGAAAGGUCUCGGAAAGCCGUUGAAAUUCUUCCAUGUCCGGGAUAGGGUAUUGUAAUUAUUACCCUUAAACGAGGAAUGCCUAGUAAGUGUGAGUCAUCAGCUCACGUUGAUUACGUCCCUGCCCUUUGUACACACCGCCCGUCGCUAUCCGGGACUGAACUGUUUCGAGAAGAGUGGGGAUUGGAACAUUCGGGCCUAACGGUCUUUUUGUUCUGAAAACCAUUUUUAUCGCAAUGGCUUGAACCGGGUAAAAGUCGUAACAAGGUAGCU